This 497-nucleotide ribosomal RNA is filed under the name uncultured bacterium. Its description in RNAcentral is "partial 16S ribosomal RNA". It matches the Rfam family "Bacterial small subunit ribosomal RNA", at positions 28 to 507 of the family's 1533-position model. The record is from RNAcentral.
GAUGAACGCUGGCGGCGUGCCUAAUACAUGCCAGUCGAGCGAACGGACGAGAAGCUUGCUUCUCUGAUGUUAGCGGCGGACGGGUGAGUAACACGUGGAUAACCUACCUAUAAGACUGGGAUAACUUCGGGAAACCGGAGCUAAUACCGGAUGAUAUUUUGAACCGCAUGGUUCAAAAGUGAAAGACGGUCUUGCUGUCACUUAUAGAUGGAUCCGCGCUGCAUUUGCUAGUUGGUAAGGUAACGGCUUACCAAGGCAACGAUGCAUAGCCGACCUGAGAGGGUGAUCGGCCACACUGGAACUGAGACACGGUCCAGACUCCUACGGGAGGCAGCAGUAGGGAAUCUUCCGCAAUGGGCGAAAGCCUGACGGAGCAACGCCGCGUGAGUGAUGAAGGUCUUCGGAUCGUAAAACUCUGUUAUUAGGGAAGAACAUAUGUGUAAGUAACUGUGCACAUCUUGACGGUACCUAAUCAGAAAGCCACGGCUAACUACGUG